Neodiprion fabricii is the source of this 305-nucleotide long non-coding RNA. RefSeq lists it as uncharacterized. NCBI's taxonomy places the organism in Eukaryota, Metazoa, Arthropoda, Insecta, Hymenoptera, Diprionidae. The transcript is spliced from 2 exons. The record is from RefSeq and is a predicted model, not a curated record.
GGUGAGGUUGAUGGAGGCUGCGUCACUUUAGUUUCUGUUGAUGUAGUUUCUGAUCUACUGGUGCUGAAAAUAGAAAACAAAUAAAGAGUUUGAAAAAAAGUUUAGGACACAGCAACACAGUCAACAAUUAAACGUAACACGAAGACAUUGAAUAUCGCACAAGACCAAUAGCACUCCAAAAAAGGAAAGAGAAAUCUCAAUCUUCAAUUUAGCAAUCUAUUAUUUACAUGAAUUAUUCAUGUACUGAGACAGUUAGGUGCGUACGGAAAAACAAGCGAUACGUUUGUAAAAUUCCUUCGUGAAAC